Chinchilla lanigera (long-tailed chinchilla) is the source of this 828-nucleotide long non-coding RNA. RefSeq lists it as uncharacterized. The transcript is spliced from 2 exons. Lineage: Eukaryota; Metazoa; Chordata; Mammalia; Rodentia; Chinchillidae. The record is from RefSeq and is a predicted model, not a curated record.
CUUACACUACAUAGCAAGAUCCUAUUUCAAACAAACAAAAACAACCAAAUAUCUGAAAUCCAAAAUGCUCCAAAAUUGGAAGCUCCAUCCUGAUGCCAUAAGUAAAAAGCUCCAUCCCAACCUCAGGGGCAGAGGGAGUCAAAAUGCAGGUGCCCUACAUGUCGUAUAAAUGACCUUCAGGCUGUGAGCAUCAGGUGUGCCUGAAACAUGGGAGAAUGUCUCACUGAGGGUCCCAGCCCCAGGUCCAGUCCAGCCUCAUCUCGUCCCAAACAUGUGGAAACAUCUGGGCUGCACACCGCUCCUGCUCCCAGGUGCUUCAGCGAGGGGACGUGGCCCGCGUCAGAGAGCACCAGGAGGGAUGAGACCAUGGGGGGCGGCUGCCGUUCUGCUAGCGCCUCUGCCGUGUUCCCAUUGAGUCACCAGGGAGGGUUGAAUGCAUAGGACUUCAGGGCCAUGGCGAACCCCGCAGACAUCAACCUGGGGUCAGUCCUGCUGUGACGGAGGCGGCGUCCUCAGCACCAUCCUCCCGGGCCGGUGUCCACGCCGAGGCCCUCCCAGGCUUGUCUUCUCAGUUUCAGCUCAGGAUGAGGAAACGCAGGGUCCGGGUGACUUAGGGAGGGGGGCUGCUUUCUUCCUCUCAGAUUCGGUCAGGGAGCAGCGCCUUUACUGAUGACGUCCCAUCGUGAAAGCGACAGGACCAGAUUCUGUGAUUUUAUGUAACCGAGAAAGGAAAAGGCUGCCGAAUCCUUGCUGUCAUGGGCAUAAACACACUGAGAUGUUCAAAGUGAAAAGCAGAGCUGAAAGUCAGUACAGAAGCUGUUUAAAGUA